RNAcentral lists this ribosomal RNA (307 nucleotides) under uncultured eukaryote. RNAcentral describes it as "partial 18S ribosomal RNA". It matches the Rfam family "Eukaryotic small subunit ribosomal RNA", at positions 1470 to 1796 of the family's 1831-position model. The record is from RNAcentral.
CCCUUAGACGUUCUGGGCCGCACGCGCGCUACACUGACGAAGGCAACGAGCUUUCCUUUACCGAAAGGUACGGGUAAUCUUUUGAAACUUCGUCGUGCUGGGGAUAGAUCCUUGCAAUUUUUGAUCUUAAACGAGGAAUACCUAGUAAGCGCAAGUCAUCAACUUGCGUUGAUUACGUCCCUGCCCUUUGUACACACCGCCCGUCGCUACUACCGAUUGAAUGGUUUAGUGAGGCCUUCGGAUCCGCGACUCGUUUGUGGAGAAGUUGGACAAACUCAGUCAUUUAGAGGAAGUAAAAGUCGUAACA